GAUGAACGCUAGCUACAGGCUUAACACAUGCAAGUCGCAGGGUAACAUGAGGAAAGCUUGCUUUCCUUGAUGACGACUGGCGCACGGGUGAGUAACGCGUAUCCAACCUUCCCAUAACUACGGGAUAACCCGUUGAAAGACGGCCUAAUACCGUAUGAUAUCGUUUGCUGACAUCAAAUAACGAUUAAAGGUUUAGCGGUUAUGGACGGGGAUGCGUCUGAUUAGCUUGUUGGCGGGGUAACGGCCCACCAAGGCGACGAUCAGUAGGGGUUCUGAGAGGAAGGUCCCCCAGAUUGGAACUGCGACACGGUCCAAACUCCUACGGGAGGCAGCAGUGAAGAAUAUUAGUCAAUGAGCGAGGGCCUGAACCAGCCAAGUAGCGUGCAGGAUGACGGCCCUAUGGGUUGUAAACUGCUUUUAUGUGGGGAUAAAGUGCGUGACGUGUCAUGCAUUGCAGGUACCACAUGAAUAAGGACCGGCUAAUUCCGUG
This 490-nucleotide ribosomal RNA is filed under the name uncultured bacterium. RNAcentral's name for it is "partial 16S ribosomal RNA". It matches the Rfam family "Bacterial small subunit ribosomal RNA", at positions 28 to 507 of the family's 1533-position model. The record is from RNAcentral.